CCUUGACAUACUAAGAACUUUCCAGAGAUGGAUUGGUGCCUUCGGGAACUUAGAUACAGGUGCUGCAUGGCUGUCGUCAGCUCGUGUCGUGAGAUGUCGGGUUAAGUCCCGCAACGAGCGCAACCCUUUUCCUUAUUUGCCAGCGGGUCAUGCCGGGAACUUUAAGGAUACUGCCAGUGACAAACUGGAGGAAGGCGGGGACGACGUCAAGUCAUCAUGGCCCUUACGGCCAGGGCUACACACGUGCUACAAUGGUCGGUACAAAGGGUUGCUACCUCGCGAGAGGAUGCUAAUCUCAAAAAGCCGAUCGUAGUCCGGAUCGCAGUCUGCAACUCGACUGCGUGAAGUCGGAAUCGCUAGUAAUCGCGGAUCAGAAUGCCGCGGUGAAUACGUUCCCGGGCCUUGUACACACCGCCCGUCACACCAUGGGAGUUUGUUGCACCAGAAGUAGGUAGUCUAACCGCAAGGAGGACGCUUACCACGGUGUGGCCGAUGACUGGGGUGAAGUCGUAACAAGGUAGGCGUAGAUGA
This 531-nucleotide ribosomal RNA is filed under the name uncultured bacterium. RNAcentral describes it as "bacterial SSU rRNA". It matches the Rfam family "Bacterial small subunit ribosomal RNA", at positions 979 to 1509 of the family's 1533-position model. The record is from RNAcentral.